This 425-nucleotide ribosomal RNA is filed under the name uncultured bacterium. Its description in RNAcentral is "bacterial SSU rRNA". It matches the Rfam family "Bacterial small subunit ribosomal RNA", at positions 354 to 796 of the family's 1533-position model. The record is from RNAcentral.
GUGGGGAAUCUUGCGCAAUGGGCGAAAGCCUGACGCAGCCAUGCCGCGUGAAUGAUGAAGGUCUUAGGAUUGUAAAAUUCUUUCACCGGGGACGAUAAUGACGGUACCCGGAGAAGAAGCUCCGGCUAACUUCGUGCCAGCAGCCGCGGUAAUACGAAGGGGGCUAGCGUUGCUCGGAAUUACUGGGCGUAAAGGGCGCGUAGGCGGACAGCUUAGUCAGAGGUGAAAGCCCAGGGCUCAACCUUGGAAUUGCCUUUGAUACUGGCUGUCUUGAGUUUGGGAGAGGUGAGUGGAACUCCGAGUGUAGAGGUGAAAUUCGUAGAUAUUCGGAAGAACACCAGUGGCGAAGGCGACUGACUGGACAAGUAUUGACGCUGAGGUGCGAAAGCGUGGGGAGCAAACAGGAUUAGAUACCCGAGUAGUCC